UACGGAGGGUGCAAGCGUUGCUCGGAAUUAUUGGGCGUAAAGGGUAGGUAGGUGGUCUCGUUUGUCUGGGGUGAAAGCCUUGAGCUUAACUCAAGAACUGCCUUUGAUACUGGAGAGCUUGAGUCCGGGAGAGGUGAGUGGAACUGCGAGUGUAGAGGUGAAAUUCGUAGAUAUUCGCAAGAACACCAGUGGCGAAGGCGGCUCACUGGCCCGGUACUGACGCUGAGGUGCGAAAGCGUGGGGAGCAAACAGG
Molecule: ribosomal RNA, 253 nt
Filed under: uncultured bacterium
Lineage: Bacteria
Description: partial 16S ribosomal RNA
Rfam family: Bacterial small subunit ribosomal RNA
Source: RNAcentral